UAUCCACAUCCGGAUUUACCUAAACCCCACCCAGGUUGCAACAUAGCAAUGAAAAACCGGUAUUUUCUACCCAUGAAUCACAUUC
This 85-nucleotide small RNA is filed under the name Carlito syrichta (Philippine tarsier). RNAcentral describes it as "sRNA (ENSTSYG00000033546.1)". Lineage: Eukaryota; Metazoa; Chordata; Mammalia; Primates; Tarsiidae. The record is from RNAcentral.